GAUGAACGCUGGCGGCGUGCCUAAUACAUGCAAGUCGAGCGAACAGACGAGGAGCUUGCUCCUCUGACGUUAACGUCGGACGGGUGAGUAACACGUGGAUAACCUACCUAUAAGACUGGGAUAACUUCGGGAAACCGGAGCUAAUACCGGAUAAUAUAUUGAACCGCAUGGUUCAAUAGUGAAAGACGGUUUUGCUGUCACUUAUAGAUGGAUCCGCGCCGCAUUAGCUAGUUGGUAAGGUAACGGCUUACCAAGGCAACGAUGCGUAGCCGACCUGAGAGGGUCGUCGGCCACACUGGAACUGAGACACGGUCCAGACUCCGACGGGAGGCAGCAGUAGGGAAUCUUCCGCAAUGGGCGAAAGCCUGACGGAGCAACGCCGCGUGAGUGAUGAAGGUCUUCGGAUCGUAAAACUCUGUUAUUAGGGAAGAACAAAUGUGUAAGUAACUAUGCACGUCUUGACGGUACCUAAUCAGAAAGCCACGGCUAACUACGUG
This 497-nucleotide ribosomal RNA is filed under the name uncultured bacterium. RNAcentral describes it as "partial 16S ribosomal RNA". It matches the Rfam family "Bacterial small subunit ribosomal RNA", at positions 28 to 507 of the family's 1533-position model. The record is from RNAcentral.